GUUCUUGUAGUUAAAGUACAUAACGGCGGUUUUUCAGGCCGUAGAUCCUGGAUUGAGCCCGGGCAAGAAUU
This 71-nucleotide transfer RNA is filed under the name Buphagus erythrorhynchus (red-billed oxpecker). It matches the Rfam family "tRNA". Rfam says of the family: Transfer RNA (tRNA) molecules are approximately 80 nucleotides in length. Their secondary structure includes four short double-helical elements and three loops (D, anti-codon, and T loops). Further hydrogen bonds mediate the characteristic L-shaped molecular structure. tRNAs have two regions of fundamental functional importance: the anti-codon, which is responsible for specific mRNA codon recognition, and the 3' end, to which the tRNAs corresponding amino acid is attached (by aminoacyl-tRNA synthetases). tRNAs cope with the degeneracy of the genetic code in two manners: having more than one tRNA (with a specific anti-codon) for a particular amino acid; and 'wobble' base-pairing, i.e. permitting non-standard base-pairing at the 3rd anti-codon position. The record is from Rfam by way of RNAcentral. Lineage: Eukaryota; Metazoa; Chordata; Aves; Passeriformes; Sturnidae.